UAGAGGAAGUAAAAGUCGUAACAAGGUCUCCGUAGGUGAACUGCGGAGGGAUCAUUACACAAUAUGAAAGCGGGUUGGGACCUCACCUCGGUGAGGGCUCCAGCUUGUCUGAAUUAUUCACCCAUGUCUUUUGCGCACUUCUUGUUUCCUGGGCGGGUUCGCCCGCCACCAGGACCAAACCAUAAACCUUUUUGUAAUUGCAAUCAGCGUCAGUAAACAAUGUAAUUAUUACAACUUUCAACAACGGAUCUCUUGGUUCUGGCAUCGAUGAAGAACGCAGCGAAAUGCGAUACGUAGUGUGAAUUGCAGAAUUCAGUGAAUCAUCGAAUCUUUGAACGCACAUUGCGCCCUUUGGUAUUCCAAAGGGCAUGCCUGUUCGAGCGUCAUUUGUACCCUCAAGCUUUGCUUGGUGUUGGGCGUCUUUGUCUCUCACGAGACUCGCCUUAAAAUGAUUGGCAGCCGACCUACUGGUUUCGGAGCGCAGCACAAUUCUUGCACUUUGAAUCAGCCUUGGUUGAGCAUCCAUCAAGACCACAUUUUUUUCAACUUUUGACCUCGGAUCAGGUAGGGAUACCCGCUGAACUUAAGCAUAUCAAUAAGCGGAGGA
RNAcentral lists this ribosomal RNA (607 nucleotides) under fungal sp. MG225C2L10x. RNAcentral's name for it is "eukaryotic LSU rRNA". The stretch from base 233 to 386 matches the Rfam family "5.8S ribosomal RNA". The record is from RNAcentral. Lineage: Eukaryota; Fungi.